This 6217-nucleotide long non-coding RNA is filed under the name Olea europaea subsp. europaea. Lineage: Eukaryota; Viridiplantae; Streptophyta; Magnoliopsida; Lamiales; Oleaceae. The record is from RNAcentral.
GAUUCUAAAAUCGGCUAUGAUUUUUUAGACAUAACUUGACCGAUUCCUCCUUUUCCAUUGUACUGGCUAUUCAGUCCGUUUUAACAAGGUUGCUAGUUACAUUCUUUGGUAACCUCUGAAUUCAAAAAUUGCACUAUUAGUCCCCAAACUAUUGCUCAACCUUUUCUGGACUUCCAAAGACUCGUUAUAGGUUUAACGCCAGUCCCCAUCAACGAUUUUUUGUGAUAUACCCGCCUAAACCCCAAACCAAAACCCAAAACUGAUGAAUGGGAAGGGCAUGUUCAAAACCUUUGUAUGCCCUUUCCCUCCACCCUCAAGCCACCCAUUCCUUCUCCACAACCGCCAUCUCCGCCGCCUCACAAGAUUUCAUAUCCCUAUGCUCCAAAGGCCAUCUCAAACAAGCCUUCACCAUCUAUUUCUCCCACAUUUGGUCGGACCCACCUCUCUUCUCCCACCUCCUCAAGGAAUGCAUCGAACGCCACUCUUUCCCGCUUGCACAACAGCUCCAUUCCCUCAUAAUAACUGCCGGGUGUUCCCGGGACCGCUUCGUUUCCAACCAUUUAAUGAGCGCUUAUUCAAAAUUGGGCCAUUUGAAAGGAUCUGUAAAAGUGUUUGAUAAAAUGCCUAACAGAAAUGUUAUGUCCUUUAACAUUUUGAUUGGUGGGUAUAUACAGAGUGGGGAGUUGGAUUGUGCGAUUGAGCUUUUUGAACAAAUGAUUGAGCGAAAUUUGGCCACUUGGAAUGCGAUUAUUACGGGGAUGGUUCAGUUUGAGUUUAAUGAGGAGGCGCUGAAUAUGUUCUCGAGAAUGCACUCUCUUGGGUUUUUGCCUGAUUACUAUGCUCUAGGGAGUGCGUUGAGAGGCUGUGCUGGAUUGAAAGAUUUGAGUAGGGGGAAUCAGAUUCAUGGGUAUUCAGUGAGAUCGGGGUUGGAGUUUGAUUUGGUUGUUGGAAGUUCGUUGGCUCAUAUGUAUAUGAAGUGUGGUAGCUUGAGAGAAGGUGAGAGAGUGAUUCAGUCUAUGCCAGUUCAUAACAUUGUUGCUUGUAAUACACUUAUUGCUGGCAAAUCUCAGAAUGGGUGUUCCGAGGGUGCUUUGAAUCAGUACAAGAUAAUGAGAAUGGCUGGCUUUAGGCCGAAUAAAAUCACUUUGGUGAGCAUUAUCAGUUCAUGUUCUGAGCUAACAACACUUGGACAAAGCCUGCAGGUUCAUGCUGAGGUGAUAAAAGCUGGGGCCACGUUGGAUGUUUCAGUUGUUAGUUCAUUAGUUAGCAUGUAUUCACGGUGUGGGUGUUUAGAUGAUGCUGUGAAAGUUUUUGACCAGAGGGAGGGAGCUGAAAAUGAUCUGGUUUUGUGGAGUUCAAUGAUUUCUGCUUAUGGGUUUCAUGGGAAAGGAAAGGAGGCUGUUGAAGUGUUUAAAAGGAUGGAGCAUGUAGGAUUGAAACCAAAUGAAGUCACUUUCUUGAGUUUGCUAUAUGCUUGUAGUCAUUGCGGAUUGAAAGAUGAAGGGCUUCAAUAUUUCGACUUGAUGGUAAAGAAGUAUGGACUGGAGCCUCGGUUAGAACAUUAUACCUGUGUGGUUGAUCUCCUUGGUAGAGCAGGCUGUUUGGCAGAGGCAGAAAGCCUGAUCAGAUCCAUGCCUGUAAAGCCUGAUACUGUUACAUGGAAAACUUUACUAUCAGCUUGUAAAAUCCAUAAGAAUGCUGACCUGUCUAGAAGAAUUGCUGAGGAAAUUGUUAAAAUGGAUCCUCAAGAUUCAGCUUCUUAUGUGCUGCUUUCAAAUAUCCAAGCUUCUGCUAAAAGAUGGCAUGAUGUUUCAGAGGUGAGGAAAGCAAUGAGGGAAAGAAUGGUCAAGAAAGAGCCGGGGAUAAGCUGGUUUGAGCUGAAGAAUGAAAUUCACCAUUUUGUUAUGGGCGAUAAAUCUCAUCCUCAGUCUAAAAAGAUCGACUUGUAUUUGACAGAACUGAUGGCCGAACUGAAGUUGCAUGGUUAUGUGCCCGAUUUAGGUGCUGUUUUGCAUGACAUGGAUGUGGAGGAAAAGGAGUAUAACUUAGGACAUCACAGUGAAAAACUGGCUAUUGCUUUUGCUCUGAUGAAUAUGCCGCUGGGUGUUCCAAUAAGGAUAAUGAAGAAUUUGCGGGUCUGCGGUGAUUGCCAUGUUGUUAUGAAGUACAUAUCCAAGGUUAAAAACAGAGAAAUUACUGUACGGGAUGCCAGUAGGUUUCACCAUUUCAAAAAUGGACAUUGUUCUUGUGGGGAUUACUGGUGAGGUGAGUUUCUCUCUUUUAAAGUAGAUGGUACUAAUUAUAUACACCAUACUUAUAAGCUGUAGUGAUAUUCAUCACAAGAGGGGAUAACAAUUCGACUGGUGCCAUGCUUAAAAUUUAACAUAUCCAAGGUUAAAAACAGAGAAAUUAUUGUAUGGGAUGCUAGUAGGUUUCACCAUUUCAAAAAUGGACAUUGUUCUUGUGGGGAUUACUGGUGAGGUGAGGAUCUCUCUUUUAAAGUAGAUGGUAGUAAUUAUAUACACCAUACUUGUAAGCUGUAGUGAUAUUCAUCACAAGGGGGGGUUACAAUUCGGUUGAUGCCAUACUUAAAAUUUCUUUCUGAUUUUUCCAAAUGUUACUGACAGUUUUAUGAUAGAUUUUCUUUUCCUUCUUUUUGCUCAAUUUCUAUUAACAGAUUCGUCUACCUCCCCCCCCCCCCCCCCCCCCCCCCCCCCCCCCCCCCCCCCCCCCUCCCUCCCUCCCUCCCUCCCUCUCACCCUUUAUUUUUGCGAGUUCAAAUAUAUCAUAUGCAUUAACAAUUAUUUUGAGCUCUGUUGUUCCUUGUGAGACACAUAAGCUACUUAGCUACACAUUUAUUUUAUGUAUCUUAUCUUUCUUCGAAAAAUGAUUUAUAGGCUCUUAGACAAGCCUUGCAUAAGUGUGUUGAUAUCUAUGCAUCAAAUUACGUUCUUUGUGAAUAUGCACUAAUUUUCUCAGUUUCACGUGACUUAUAUAUUGCUUCCGGAUAUACAUGCUAUUCUCCUGCUAUCGAAUUAUGAGAACUAUUACUCGUUCUUUGCAAGUACCAACUCUCUAAGUAAUCAUUUGUUUAUGGGUGAAUUGUAGUCGAUAAAACCUAAAGCACUUGUUCCAUUGUUAAUGAGUUUAGCAAUUAAUUACACAAAUUUACUGUUCAGGCAUACUCCUGCAGAUGCCCCUUCUUUAAUCAUGCGGAUGUCUAUAUAACAUGACACAUAUUCAAUAUAUGUUAUGCCAAUAGAACUCGUGUUUUCCACCCAUGUACAAAGUUGCAUGAUAGCCAUUCUUGUUCAGUGUGUAAUGUAAGAAGUUGCGCAUUUAUACAGCAUUUACAUUAUUUUCGCACUGCAUAUACUGGUCAUGAGUUAGAAAGCAACCUUUUAGUAGCACUAAAAGAAGGCUUGGUCCAUGACAAUUUGCCAUAUUGCACUUGUUACCCUAAGUAAUCUAAUAUGUUGGCACUAAAUAGAUAAUUUACCUUCUCUUUAUGCUUUUUUAGAAAUAUUCCAGUCCAAUUGAUAAUUAGAACAUAAAAGCGAGAACUGCGAUUUAUGGUUGCUCACCUUUUCAUGAAAGGAGAACCACAGUACUGGACUAUAACUGAAACCAGGGCUGUCUUCAUAAUGUUUCUUAUUCUCCCUUCCUUUCCAACUUCUGUUUUCCUCAGCUGCUGGUGCCUGGCUCUAUAUUCUACCUUAAAUCAAUUAUUUCCUCAGAGUGGCAACAAUGCUGCAGUAGAUAUUACUCUUGCAGGAAAUAAUGCACAUUAAUAGCAGCGCUUUCAAAAUAGAAGUUGUUUGUUUUGUUUGUGGUCUUUACUGUAGAUAGCUCUGAGUAUUACUUGUUCUCUCGUCAUUGAUCAGGUAACCAAACUGUAGUUUAGUAAUUAAAUGUUGAUAUUUAGUCCAAGAGAACACGAUUUUACAGCUGACGAGAAGGUUUGGUGCUAUUAUAUGCAGAUGGAGUUGGGCUUGUUGAACCAUUCCAUUUAAAAAUUUAAACUCGUAAAUAUCAUCCAUUAUGCUCCCUCUGCAUACAAAUAGUCAUUUAAAUUCAAAAUGCCUCACGGGGGAUUUUAUAUUAUGGGGUGUAGUGCACCUCGAAUCCAAUUCUUAUGUCGUACUCUGGUACUAUGUUAAACCACAUCAUCUAAACGCUUCAACUAUGAGAAAGAAUGAAUUUAUUUAUUUAUAUAUCUAUAUCUCUAAUAAGCAAUCUUUUGAUUGCCCAACUAAUAUGCGGCUUCUUCUUGAUUAGCAAUUGAAAGAAGACCAAAGCUAGGACCUAUGCUAUGCUGCAUAAUAUCAACAACAGGAUUUGCUGCAUGGACUAUUUUGAAUGUAAUGCCGCUUAAUGCCAAUCAUCAUUUUGUCGAGCUUGUUGAAAUGAUAUGACUAGAUAUUUGCAUAUCUUGAUAUCCUCCUGGCAAUCUAGUUGCCCAAUCACUAUUUUGAAUCUGUUCAGGCAACUCGUCCUGAAUCUAGUCUGUUUUGAACUCCAUUGUCCUGUUGGUCUGCUUGCAAUCAACACCAUCUAAUUGAAUUAAUGUUACUUGUUUAAAUUUAUUGGAUAAUGGGCCGCAUUGCCAAAUAUUGAGAAUGUAUAGCAAUGUAAACCGGCCUGCCUUGGAACUGCUCGGCGUUGCAGUCUUUUUUCAGAUUCCUGAGCCGAUCUUUUGGCCUGGUUACUGCCCACAGGGGACAAGGCCUUCUUCUCCGGUCACAGCCUCUCCAGCUCUUUCUUAAAUGAAGGCUUGGAACCCUAUACCUAUACAAGGGGCUGGUCUUGAUCCUGUUUGGUGGUGCGACCGCAAAACCUUCAAUUUCACCUCUUGAAUGUUAUAUUAAAGGUCCAGAGAGGCUCGAAGUCCAACGUCAGGUAUUGCAAAGGUAAUAUCUUCUGUACCGUUGGCAUUUUAACUGUUAUAACUGUCAUUUAAUGCUUGUCGAAAACAGAAAUUGGCGAUUGCAUAGGCUAAUCCGGCAUAUGUCGGGAGGAGCUGAAGCAUCAGGUUUGAAGGAAAAACGGCUGGCUUUGCUUGGAGUCGAUGACAUUGACAUUUUUAAAGGUGUCAAUUUUAGCCAUGGCGUACAUGCUCAAGAAAGUAUCCAAAUUGGCAGGGACUGCUGAUAAUAUGACAGAAUCUUAUAAUUAUUGAUCUAAACAAACCAAUUCAGUAAGACACUACUUUAAUAUUUUGAAUUUUUCUAUAAGAAAUUGGAUUUAAUAAUAUCUUUUGUAAGUGUAAACGAAUAAUCAUUUUCUACUUAGAAGCAGUUGAGGGAAAACUCAUUCUUUCAAGUACUUCGCCCAUUUUAUCGUCUAAACAUGGAACACGAAUAUGAUUGAUAUGCUGAACUGUACAAAAUUGAAGAUGCAAUGUAAGAGUUGGAUUCGGCACAUUUUUAGUUCUUUGGCCAUUUCAAGUACCGUGGACCCUAUAACUUCUUUGUUCCGUGUAACGGCAUGAGAAAAUUUCAAGCAGUUGAAAUUGGACAAGUCUUGAUAUACAUAAAAUGUGUACAUGAGAGUGAUGAGGCGGGUCCCACCUACCAUGUGAGGGGGGUGCGAACACCCUUAUGUAGUAAACCAAGCACAAUCCUAUCAUGUCCCAAAAAAAUAUAUUACUCUUCUUGAUUCCGGCAAGACUAAGUAAGUUGUGCAAUGACUCAGGCUAGAGCCCCGCCAUAAAUAGCAUUUGAAUCUUGAUGAGUUCUCGUUUCGUACGAAAAUUCUGUUUCCAGUUCAUCCAAACUGACGCAAUUAACAAGACCGAUACAAAGUCUAUUCGGGACAGGGUUAAAGAAUAAAAAAUGAGAGAUAACAAGAAAGAAAAGAGAAAGCAGGUGUCUUCAUUCCCCUCGAACCUAUAUUCUAACACCCCAAGUAAGCAUGUAUUCCAUCAUCCCAUUUCAACAAAGAAUGAAACAAAUCCAAACAAAACAAAGAAACCCGACUAAAUUUUUAGACGGUGAUAUCAGAUUCAUUGUCAGAUGAGACUGGAGAACCAGAAGCUUCAGCAACAUAUUCAAGCAUGCUUACCACCUCAGAUGUAUCGUCCAAAUAAUAUUUGGCUUUGCUGGGUUUCUGACCUACUGUACAAGCAAAUACUUGUGUGUUGUAGGGAAGACUUCGUCUUGACACUGCAGAACCAAUUAUUUCAAACAUAUCCUCAUCAGAUCUGUCAUCCCCAAUG